UCUGACGGAGCAACGCCGCGUGAGUGAYGAAGGUUUUCGGAUCGUAAAACUCUGUUGUGAGGGAAGAAMACGUACCAAUUAACUACUGGYACCUUGACGGUACCUCACCAGAAAGCCACGGCUAACUACGUGCCAGCAGCCGCGGUAAUACGUAGGUGGCAAGCGUUGUCCGGAAUUAUUGGGCGUAAAGCGCGCGCAGGCGGUCCCUUAAGUCUGAUGUGAAAGCCCACGGCUCAACCGUGGAGGGUCAUUGGAAACUGGGGGACUUGAGUGCAGAAGAGGAAAGUGGAAUUCCAYGUGUAGCGGUGAAAUGCGUAGAGAUGUGGAGGAACACCAGUGGCGAAGGCGACUUUCUGGUCUGUAACUGACGCUGAGGCGCGAAAGCGUGGGGAGCAAACAGGAUUAGAUACCCUGGUAGUCCACGCCGUAAACGAUGAGUGCUAAGUGUUAGGGGGUUUCCGCCCCUUAGUGCUGCAGCUAACGCAUUAAGCACUCCGCCUGG
Molecule: ribosomal RNA, 502 nt
Filed under: uncultured Planomicrobium sp.
Lineage: Bacteria; Bacillati; Bacillota; Bacilli; Caryophanales; Caryophanaceae
Description: bacterial SSU rRNA
Rfam family: Bacterial small subunit ribosomal RNA
Source: RNAcentral